Non-coding RNA from Schizosaccharomyces pombe (fission yeast), 217 nucleotides. The record is from the annotation of a GenBank genome assembly. Lineage: Eukaryota; Fungi; Ascomycota; Schizosaccharomycetes; Schizosaccharomycetales; Schizosaccharomycetaceae.
AAUGACCACCAGACGCAGAAGUACCGUGAUGAUAAACCACUGCAUUCAAAUCAUAUUCCGGAUGUAUGGAACCACGAACAGAAGGGCUGAAAACGUUUUGUGGAAUACUCAAGCGAGCAGGAUAAGCAAUAGGCUUAUAAUUUUUCUGUGUACCGCCAGAUGCUUCGUAAAAGAAUCGUUUAAGGUGAAGAAUCAAGACAGGAGGAAGUGACUCUAU